Molecule: unclassified non-coding RNA, 385 nt
Filed under: uncultured bacterium
Lineage: Bacteria
Description: contains 16S-23S intergenic spacer region
Source: RNAcentral
UCCUGGUUUCCCAGGCAGUUCCAUUAGGGUGCUCUGCUUUCGCAGUUAGCAACUAACAGCAAGGGUUGCGCUCGUUAAAGGACUUAACCCAACAUCUCACGACACGAGCUGACGACAGCCAUGCAGCACCUGUUCUUGCGUUUGGGCCGAAACCCAAAACAUCGUAUUUCUACGACUAGCGCAAGUAUGUCAAACCCAGGUAAGGUUCCUCGCGUAGUGUCGAAUUAAACCACAUGUUCCACCGCUUGUGCGGACCCCCGUCAAUUCCUUUAAGUUUUAGUCUUGCGACCGUACUUCCCAGGCGAACCACUUAACGCGUUAGCUACGACACUGAUCCGGCAAGCCAGACCAACAUCUAGUGGUUAUCGUUUACGGCGUGGACUAC